GCAGCAGUGCACUUUCUCUAGCAUUUAACACCACUACCCGGGACAAUGGAAACUUGACAGUGUCAGAGUUGACUGGACCUCAGGGCCACAAUGUCACCUGCACAGCAACAAACAGUGUGGGCAAAGAAAUUUUUCAGAUACUUGUUUAGGUUAAAGGGACUGCUUCUACACUAGCGACAGUUGGGGCAGCCGGGGUGUGUAUCAUCAUAAUAGUUGCUAUUACAGUAACCGUGUUCUGGAGAAAGAGACGUCAUGCAGAGCCAAGUGGAGACCUCAAUAUUACCCAGGCUACAAAGCAUGAGGGAAGGUACCAUAAUGACCAUAUAGAUUCAGAUGAAAACCUGUAUGCAAAUAUACAGCUGAUUCAACGUGCUAAUAAAAAGCAGGUAAACAAUGUUAAAAAUGUCAAUACACA
This is a long non-coding RNA of Clarias gariepinus (North African catfish), 415 nucleotides long. RefSeq lists it as uncharacterized. The record is from RefSeq and is a predicted model, not a curated record. The transcript is spliced from 3 exons. Lineage: Eukaryota; Metazoa; Chordata; Actinopteri; Siluriformes; Clariidae.